GAUGAACGCUGGCGGCGUGCCUAAUACAUGCAAGUCGAGCGAACAGACGAGGAGCUUGCUCCUCUGACGUUAGCGGCGGACGGGUGAGUAACACGUGGAUAACCUACCUAUAAGACUGGGAUAACUUCGGGAAACCGGAGCUAAUACCGGAUAAUAUAUUGAACCGCAUGGUUCAAUAGUGAAAGACGGUUUUGCUGUCACUUAUAGAUGGAUCCGCGCCGCAUUAGCUAGUUGGUAAGGUAACGGCUUACCAAGGCGACGAUGCGUAGCCGAGCUGAGAGGAGGAUCGGCGACACUGGAACUGAGACACGGUCCAGACUCCUACGGGAGGCAGCAGUAGGGAAUCUUCCGCAAUGGGCGAAAGCCUGACGGAGCAACGCCGCGUGAGUGAUGAAGGUCUUCGGAUCGUAAAACUCUGUUAUUAGGGAAGAACAAAUGUGUAAGUAACUAUGCACGUCUUGACGGUACCUAAUCAGAAAGCCACGGCUAACUACGUG
Molecule: ribosomal RNA, 497 nt
Filed under: uncultured bacterium
Lineage: Bacteria
Description: partial 16S ribosomal RNA
Rfam family: Bacterial small subunit ribosomal RNA
Source: RNAcentral